Molecule: ribosomal RNA, 253 nt
Filed under: uncultured bacterium
Lineage: Bacteria
Description: partial 16S ribosomal RNA
Rfam family: Bacterial small subunit ribosomal RNA
Source: RNAcentral
UACAGAGGGUGCAAGCGUUAAUCGGAAUUACUGGGCGUAAAGCGCGCGUAGGCGGUUUGUCAAGUCGAAUGUGAAAUCCCCGGGCUCAACCUGGGAACUGCAUCCGAAACUGGCAAGCUAGAGUAUGGUAGAGGGUGGUGGAAUUUCCUGUGUAGCGGUGAAAUGCGUAGAUAUAGGAAGGAACACCAGUGGCGAAGGCGACCACCUGGACUGAUACUGACACUGAGGCACGAAAGCUAGGGGAGCAAACAGG